RNAcentral lists this ribosomal RNA (253 nucleotides) under uncultured bacterium. RNAcentral's name for it is "partial 16S ribosomal RNA". It matches the Rfam family "Bacterial small subunit ribosomal RNA", at positions 524 to 776 of the family's 1533-position model. The record is from RNAcentral.
UACGGGGGGGGCAAGCGUUGUUCGGAAUUACUGGGCGUAAAGGGCUCGUAGGCGGCCAACUAAGUCAGACGUGAAAUCCCUCGGCUUAACCGGGGAACUGCGUCUGAUACUGGAUGGCUUGAGUUCGGGAGAGGGAUGCGGAAUUCCAGGUGUAGCGGUGAAAUGCGUAGAGACCGGGAAGAACACCAGUGGCGAAGGCGGCUACCUGGACAGGUACUGACGCUGAAGCGCGAAAGCUAGGGGAGCAAACAGG